Molecule: transfer RNA, 61 nt
Filed under: Heterocephalus glaber (naked mole-rat)
Lineage: Eukaryota; Metazoa; Chordata; Mammalia; Rodentia; Bathyergidae
Rfam family: tRNA
About the family: Transfer RNA (tRNA) molecules are approximately 80 nucleotides in length. Their secondary structure includes four short double-helical elements and three loops (D, anti-codon, and T loops).
Source: Rfam by way of RNAcentral
UGUAGCUCAGGGGUAGAGCACUUGCCUAAAAUGCACAAGGUUCUGGGUUCAAUCCCCAGUA